Molecule: non-coding RNA, 70 nt
Organism: Podarcis lilfordi (Lilford's wall lizard)
Lineage: Eukaryota; Metazoa; Chordata; Lepidosauria; Squamata; Lacertidae
Source: the annotation of a GenBank genome assembly
GACAUAGCUCAGUUGGUAGAACGUGAGACCUUUAAUCUCAGGGUCAUGGGUUUGCGCCCCAUGCUGGACA